GCCCUUGUAGCUCAGUUGGAAGAGUAGCGCACUUGUAAUGCGACGGUCGACGGUUCAAAUCCUGUCCUUGGGCACCA
This 77-nucleotide transfer RNA is filed under the name Novimethylophilus kurashikiensis. RNAcentral describes it as "tRNA-Thr". It matches the Rfam family "tRNA". From Rfam's summary of the family: Transfer RNA (tRNA) molecules are approximately 80 nucleotides in length. Their secondary structure includes four short double-helical elements and three loops (D, anti-codon, and T loops). Lineage: Bacteria; Pseudomonadati; Pseudomonadota; Betaproteobacteria; Nitrosomonadales; Methylophilaceae. The record is from RNAcentral.